RNAcentral lists this ribosomal RNA (595 nucleotides) under uncultured archaeon. RNAcentral describes it as "bacterial SSU rRNA". It matches the Rfam family "Archaeal small subunit ribosomal RNA", at positions 321 to 920 of the family's 1478-position model. The record is from RNAcentral.
ACCUAUGGGGCGCAGCAGGCGAGAACCUUUGCAAUGUGCGAAAGCACGACAAGGUUAAUCCGAGUGUCUCCUGCUAAAGGAGUCUUUUGUCAGUUGUAGAAUCACUGGUGAAUAAGGGGUGGGCAAGUUCUGGUGUCAGCCGCCGCGGUAAAACCAGCACCUCGAGUGGUCAGGAGGUUUAUUGGGCCUAAAGCAUCCGUAGCCGGUUGCAUAAGUUUUCGGUUAAAUCUAUGCGCUUAACGUAUAGGCCGCCGAAAAUACCGUGCAGCUAGGGAGUGGGAGAGGUACACGGUACUCGAUAGGAAGGGGUAAAAUCCUUUGAUCUAUUGAAGACCACCUGUGGCGAAGGCGGUGUACCAGAACACGUUCGACGGUGAGGGAUGAAAGCUGGGGGAGCAAACCGGAUUAGAUACCCGGGUAGUCCCAGCUGUAAACGAUGCAGACUCGGUGAUGCAUUGGCUUGUGGCCAAUGCAGUGCCGCAGGGAAGCCGUCAAGUCUGCCGCCUGGGAAGUACGUACGCAAGUAUGAAACUUAAAGGAUUGGCGGGGGAGCACCACAAGGGGUGAAGCUGCGGUUCAAUUGGAUUCAACGUCA